CCUACGGGAGGCAGCAGUGGGGAAUAUUGCACAAUGGGGGAAACCCUGAUGCAGCGACGCCGCGUGAGUGAAGACGUCACUCGUGAUGUAAAGCUCCUUUAGCAGGGAAGAAAAUGACGGUACCUGACCAAGAAGCCCCGGCUUACUUCGUGCCAGCAGCCCUGGGUAUACGGAGGGGGCAAGCGUUAUCCGGAUUUACUGGGUGUAAAGGGAGCGUAGAGGGUUGCGGAAGUCUGGAGUGAAAGGCGGGGGUCCAACCCCCGGACUGCUCUGGAAACUGUGUAACUGGAGUGCAGGAGAGGUAGGUGGAAUUCCUAGUGUAGCGGUGAAAUGCGUAGAUAUUAGGAGGAACACCAGUGGCGAAGGCGGCUUACUGGACUGUAACUGACGUUGAGGCUCGAAAGUGUGGGGAGCAAACAGGAUUAGAUACCCUAGUAGUC
Molecule: ribosomal RNA, 440 nt
Filed under: uncultured bacterium
Lineage: Bacteria
Description: partial 16S ribosomal RNA
Rfam family: Bacterial small subunit ribosomal RNA
Source: RNAcentral